AGUGAACGCUGGCGGUAGGCCUAACACAUGCAAGUCGAACGGCAGCACAGUAAGAGCUUGCUCUUACGGGUGGCGAGUGGCGGACGGGUGAGGAAUACAUCGGAAUCUACUUUUUCGUGGGGGAUAACGUAGGGACACUUACGCUACUACCGCAUACGACCUACGGGUUAAAGCAGGGGAUAUUCGGACCUUGCGCGAUUGAAUGAGCCGAUGUCGGAUUAGCUAGUUGGCGGGGUAAAGGCCCACCAAGGCGACGAUCCGUAGCUGGUCUGAGAGGAUGAUCAGCCAAACUGGAACUGAGACACGGUCCAGACUCCUACGGGAGGCAGCAGUGGGGAAUAUUGGACAAUGGGCGCAAGCCUGAUCCAGCCAUACCGCGUGAGUGAAGAAGGCCUUCGGGUUGUAAAGCCCUUUUGUUGGGAAAGAAAAGCAGCAGGUUAAAACCCCGCUGUUCUGACGGUACCCAAAGAAUAAGCACCGGCUAACUUCGUG
This 492-nucleotide ribosomal RNA is filed under the name uncultured bacterium. RNAcentral's name for it is "partial 16S ribosomal RNA". It matches the Rfam family "Bacterial small subunit ribosomal RNA", at positions 29 to 507 of the family's 1533-position model. The record is from RNAcentral.